UGGGGAAUCUUGCACAAUGGGGGCAACCCUGAUGCAGCGACGCCGCGUGCGCGAUGAAGCCCUUCGGGGUGUAAAGCGCUUUCAGCUGGAACGAUAAUGACGGUACCAGCAGAAGAAGCUGCGGCUAACUACGUGCCAGCAGCCGCGGUAAUACGUAGGCAGCAAGCGUUGUUCGGAGUUACUGGGCGUAAAGAGUAUGUAGGCGGGUUGCUUAAGUUUGGUGUGAAAUCUCCCGGCUCAACUGGGAGGGUGCGCCGAAAACUGAGCGGCUGGAGUGCCGGAGAGGAACGCGGAAUUCCUGGUGUAGCGGUGAAAUGCGUAGAUAUCAGGAGGAACACCGGUGGUGUAGACGGCGUUCUGGACGGUUACUGACGCUGAGAUACGAAAGCGUGGGGAGCAAACAGGAUUAGAUACCCUGGUAGUCCACGCCCUAAACGAUGCACAUUUGGUGUGAGCCAUUCAGUUGGUUCGUGCCGGAGCUAACGCGUUAAAUGUGCCGCCU
RNAcentral lists this ribosomal RNA (502 nucleotides) under uncultured bacterium. Its description in RNAcentral is "bacterial SSU rRNA". It matches the Rfam family "Bacterial small subunit ribosomal RNA", at positions 355 to 874 of the family's 1533-position model. The record is from RNAcentral.